AUGAAGAAAAUAAGGAUCAAAAUAAAUUCAAUUGUACACCAUCCAGCCACUUAAGUGUAGGCAGAACCCUAACCAGAAAUAAGGUAAAAUUUUCAUCAGCAAUGGCAUUCCCCACCACAUCCAAUUGUGUCAAGUUCAAGCCUUUCAACACAAAAAAGGCUUCCCAAUAAUUUGUCAUGCUGACCCCAUCAACCAAAAUUCUAUCUUGCUCCCAUUCAUUUCCAAUCGAAUUAGACAAAGGAGAUGAACACAGAUAUCUGGUUGUGUCAAUAGAGCGUGCACCUAUCUCAUUGUAUGAAAUAUCCAGCGAUUUCAAUGACUUCAGCUGUCUCAAUGGCUCCAAUGCAGUAAAACUAGAGAGUUUAUUCUCACUCAAACUCAAAUGAAUCAGUAGCUGCAGAGCCUCCAAUCCUUCAAUUGAUUGAAGUUCAUUAUGACUCAGGUCUAGCAUUUGGACCCACAAUAAUUUAGCAAAAGAUCCU
This 482-nucleotide unclassified non-coding RNA is filed under the name Hevea brasiliensis (rubber tree). Lineage: Eukaryota; Viridiplantae; Streptophyta; Magnoliopsida; Malpighiales; Euphorbiaceae. The record is from RNAcentral.